CCGAGUGAAAACUCCCAAACCCCUGUGAACAUACCACUGUUGCUUCGGCGGACCACCCUCGCCUCGCGGCGGGGGCCCGCCAGAGGACCCAAGACCCAACUGUAUUUUUGUUUUCCAAACGUAUUCUGAGUGAGGAUUUCGAAUCGAAAUUA
RNAcentral lists this unclassified non-coding RNA (152 nucleotides) under uncultured Nectriaceae. RNAcentral describes it as "sequence contains ITS1". Lineage: Eukaryota; Fungi; Ascomycota; Sordariomycetes; Hypocreales; Nectriaceae. The record is from RNAcentral.